CAGCAAUAAAUACGGAAUCCAACAGCCUUUGCAACUCUUAGUGGAUUCAUUUCACAGUCAAUUGGCACUGCAAGGCUGUCGAGUUGCCGUUAUUGAGGAGCCACGCUGCCAAGAGAGAGCACAAAGGUCCCAGUGAUGGUCUGAACAUCAUUAUCUGGCAUCGCAGCACGAUUGCUGACUCUGCAGCUGAAGCUGACAGAUGGAUGGAGCGCGCUAUCAUCAUGACACAGGAGGACGCCUCGAACAGCGAGCCCGCUUAAUUAGAUCAUUAGAAUCUCCGUCGUGCUUAAGGAAACAAACGAGCGUUGGAGGAGGGUGGAGAGAAACACUCACGGACUCUCUCUCCUGUAACAAUAGGGGAAGAUCGUUACGAGAGGUGACACCGUUCCACUGAACACAGAUGGAUCUCGUCAUCGCGAAGCGGAAAUGACGACGGAAUUCUGAAAAGCUGAUGUACAUGAUGUAAUAAAUAAAUGACAAGCUCCGAUUAACAUGUUCCUCGUCCUAUAAACAUGGCGGCCGCUCCGGACUCCACUUCCCAUAAUGCACUGGUUCACAGUCGCCAGUCGUCAGAUCACACUCCUUUGUACUUAAUCUCUCUCUCUCUCUCUCUCUCUCUCUCUCUCUCUCUCUCUCUCUGUCCGUCUCUCUCUCUGAGUUCUGAUGACACCAAGCCUUUGUUCUUUGAUCAUGUUUUCCUGCUUUGACCUUGUUUUCGUGCCAAGAUUUAAAUUUUUAUUUUUUUUUAAGUGCUUUCAAUUAACAUUUUCUUCUAAUUAAAACUGAGCUUUAUACACAAACCUGAAUCACAUAAAAAAAUCUAAAUCAAACAAAUACAAGA
Tachysurus fulvidraco (yellow catfish) is the source of this 841-nucleotide long non-coding RNA. RefSeq lists it as uncharacterized. The record is from RefSeq and is a predicted model, not a curated record. The transcript has 3 exons. NCBI's taxonomy places the organism in Eukaryota, Metazoa, Chordata, Actinopteri, Siluriformes, Bagridae.